This 464-nucleotide ribosomal RNA is filed under the name uncultured bacterium. RNAcentral describes it as "SSU rRNA". It matches the Rfam family "Bacterial small subunit ribosomal RNA", at positions 26 to 518 of the family's 1533-position model. The record is from RNAcentral.
AGCCUGAACGCUGGCGGCGUGGUUAAGACAUGCAAGUCGUACGGUGUAGCAAUACACAGUGGCGAACGGGUGAGUAAUGAAUCGCUAAUGUACCCCGGACUCUGGGAUAGCUGCCCGAAAGGGCAGGUAAUACCAGAUAACGUAAUCCUUCCGCAUGGUUGGAUUCCCAAAGGUCCGCCGGUCUGGGAGCAGGCGAUUUUGUAUCAGCUAGUUGGUAGGGUAACGGCCUACCAAGGCGAUGACGCAUAGCCGGACUGAGAGGUUGGCCGGCCACAUUGGGACUGAGACACUGCCCAGACUCCUACGGGGGGCUGCAGUAACGAAUCUUCCGCAAUGCACGAAAGUGUGACGGAGCGACGCCGCGUGUGGGACGAAGCCCGUUCGGGGUGUAAACCACUGUCAGAGGAUAGAAAGUUCUGAUCAUCCUCAGAGGAAGGCACGGCUAACUCUGUGCCAGCAGCCGC